UACGUAGGCAGCAAGCGUUGUUCGGAAUUACUGGGCGUAAAGAGUGUGUAGGCGGUGUUCUAAGUCUGUUGUGAAAUCUCCCGGCUUAACUGGGAGGGUGCGGCGGAAACUGGAAUGCUAGAGGAUGGGAGAGGUAAGCGGAAUUCCUGGUGUAGCGGUGAAAUGCGUAGAUAUCGUAAGGAAGACCAGUGGCGAAGGCGGGUCUCUGGACAGUUCCUGACGCUGAGGCACGAAGGUCAGGGGAGCAAACGGG
This 253-nucleotide ribosomal RNA is filed under the name uncultured bacterium. RNAcentral's name for it is "partial 16S ribosomal RNA". It matches the Rfam family "Bacterial small subunit ribosomal RNA", at positions 524 to 776 of the family's 1533-position model. The record is from RNAcentral.